ACCAAUCUAAAGAGGAAUGACCCCACUGGACGGAACAUCCUCAUCUUUCAUUGUGAAUUUUCCUCAGAGAGAGGCCCCAAACUAUUGAGACACCUGAGAAACCUUGACCGAAAGCUGAACAGUGACCGUUACCCUUUCCUCUUCUACCCGGAAGUAUACCUUUUAGAUGGUGGAUACAAGGCAUUCUAUGAACAACAUCAGUUUCAGUGCAAUCAAGAAACUACGUUCCCAUGCUGCACCAGGAUUACUCCAAACAACUACGUCACUUC
Long non-coding RNA from Haliotis rubra (blacklip abalone), 269 nucleotides. RefSeq lists it as uncharacterized. NCBI's taxonomy places the organism in Eukaryota, Metazoa, Mollusca, Gastropoda, Lepetellida, Haliotidae. The record is from RefSeq and is a predicted model, not a curated record. The transcript has 3 exons.